ACGCUCGACACCUACUGGAGGCAGCAGUGGGGAAUAUUGCACAAUGGGGGAAACCCUGAUGCAGCGACGCCGCGUGAGCGAAGAAGUAUUUCGGUAUGUAAAGCUCUAUCAGCAGGGAAGAAACUGACGGUACCUGACUAAGAAGCACCGGCUAAAUACGUGCCAGCAGCCGCGGUAAUCUGAGGCGGGCGUGGACGAAGGC
Molecule: ribosomal RNA, 202 nt
Filed under: uncultured bacterium
Lineage: Bacteria
Description: partial 16S ribosomal RNA
Rfam family: Bacterial small subunit ribosomal RNA
Source: RNAcentral